RNAcentral lists this ribosomal RNA (415 nucleotides) under uncultured Sebacinales. Its description in RNAcentral is "partial 18S ribosomal RNA". The stretch from base 59 to 344 matches the Rfam family "Group I catalytic intron". Rfam says of the family: Group I catalytic introns are large self-splicing ribozymes. They catalyse their own excision from mRNA, tRNA and rRNA precursors in a wide range of organisms. Lineage: Eukaryota; Fungi; Basidiomycota; Agaricomycetes; Sebacinales. The record is from RNAcentral.
UCUACGAAGAACAGCAAUGUUCCUUCCGCAGAGUACACUUGCCGAAGCCUUAGUGGCCCGAAAGGGUUUCACCAGCGACUCUAAACAAGUAGGUGGAUUAAAUGCUAGUCUCUUUGGAAGAGGCGACACUAUCAAAUUGCGGGAAGAUCCUGUCAGGUCCACAUCACCGCGGCUCACCGAAAGGUGUAGUGCAGCACCAGGCUAACAACCUUGGGUAUGGUAAUAGUAUGUGGAAUAGGGAGAAUCUGCAGCCAAGCCCCUCUCUUGGGGUGCAGUUCACAGGCCAAAUGGUAGUGGGCACUCUGGUGCUUAAGAUAUGGUCGAGUCCCAAUUGAAAAGUUGGGUACAAGUACUCUGAUUGAUUACAUACAAUCUAUGCUGGUUGUAAAUGCAAAUGUUCCGUAGGUGAACCUGC